CAGAGUUGCAAAACUCCCUAAACCAUCGCGAACGUUACCAAAUCGUUGCUUCGGCGGGCGGGGGCCCCAGCGCCCCCCCCACCAGGCCCCUCCAGGGGGGCGCCCGCCGGAGGUACCCCAACUCUUGACAAUUAUUGGCCUCUCUGAGUCUUCUGUACUGAAUAAGUCA
Molecule: unclassified non-coding RNA, 169 nt
Filed under: uncultured Chaetomiaceae
Lineage: Eukaryota; Fungi; Ascomycota; Sordariomycetes; Sordariales
Description: sequence contains ITS1
Source: RNAcentral